This 405-nucleotide ribosomal RNA is filed under the name uncultured bacterium. RNAcentral describes it as "partial 16S ribosomal RNA". It matches the Rfam family "Bacterial small subunit ribosomal RNA", at positions 30 to 526 of the family's 1533-position model. The record is from RNAcentral.
AUUGAACGCUAGCGGGAUGCUUUACACAUGCAAGUCGAACGAGUGGCGGACGGGUGAGUAAUAUAUCGGAACGUGCCCAGUCGCGGGGGAUAACUACCCGUAAGAGUUGCUAAUACCGCAUACUCUUGGAGCUGCCCAUAUCGGAUUAGCUAGUUGGUGGGGUAAAGGCUCACAAAGGCAACGAUCCGUAGCUGGUUUGAGAGGUCGACCAGCCAGACUGGGAUGGAGACACGGCCCAGACUCCUACGGGAGGCAGCAGUGGGUAAUUUUGGACAAUUGGGGAAACCCUGAUCCAGCCAUGCCGCGUGUAUGAGAAUGCCUUCGGGUUGUAAAGUACUUUUGGCAGGGAAGCGGUAUCUGCAGAAUAAGCACCGGCUAACUACGUGCCAGCAGCCGCGGUAAUAC